AAUUAGCAGCGGGAAGACUGCGGUCAAGUUGUGAAACAUUGUAACCACAACAGGUUCGUUUGGAAGGAUUUGUGGCUUUAUUUUCCGUUUGGCUUUACCGAGAACACAAUUUGACUCACUGUCAAACUUUGUGGGACGACUAACUGAGGAAAAUACGACAUAUUGUAAACGUUAUCUCCUGGCAGGUACGUUUACGCAAAGGAUUGGCUCCACCCCCGCACCCCCUCCUGUGAACUUGGGAAUGAUUAAUGGAUGAGUGAAAGGUCACAGUAGUUCUCUGACAUGUAUGGGAAAAGCAAAGGAUGAGCAAAAUUUUUUCUGUUUUACUGUUAGAUGUCACUAAAUUCACACACUGGACCUCUCAGAAAGGCUCGCUUUGGCACUGCUUCAACACAAGGUCAGACGCCGUCUUGUGCCAGACCAGCUUCAAUGAACUCAGGAGAGUAAAUAAGUCUAUGACUGAGUAUACUGGUGAUCAUCAACUAGUGGCUCGCAGACCAAAUCAAGCACACAACUGGAUUCCAAAAUUGUGAGUAUCAAACAGAAAAUACGUCUGGUCUCCACUAUUAAAGCAACUGAAAAAAAACUGAGAUUCAGAUAACUAUCAGUGAUCCCCAUCAUUUAUGACUAUAUUCAACAAAUAUUUAGCCCCUGACUAUAUAGUUAGUGACCCCUGCUGUAGACUGAUUAAUAUUGAUGAGGAAAGCUCAAAGCAUUAUAUAAGCCACUGUCAGUAUCCAAGGUAAUGACUAAAAUCCACCAACUCUACGAAUAAAAACGUUAUGCAUAUUGUUAUUAAUAUUUUUCCAUAUUUCCAUAAAAUUAUAUAACCUUCAGUCCAGGACUAAGUUUGGGUAUCGGUCCUAGUGUUCCUCACUCGCUCUGCAGAAAUCCUUGUCGCCUUAAGCCUUAACCAACCACGAGCAGAAGCCCAUUCCUGUUCAGUACUGCCCUGUUUCCAACAUAAAACACUACAGUAUCAAAAACAGGCUGGAGCUGCAGCUGAUGGCAGGGAAAGGGCAGCUGACCUAUGCUGAUUGGUGGAACAACAAGAGUGAGAGCUAUAUUUUAUUUCCUGACCUUUUGCGGUUUGCUUUGCCACCCUCUCCUCUCUGUCAGCAGCACUGAUCAGGUGCACAGCUGUGCACAGGCACGGGUCCUGCAGCCGCUCCAAAUGAUCUCAACAUACAAUCUGUCUCUAUAAUGUUCCAAGCCCCACGCCCUGC
Long non-coding RNA from Cynoglossus semilaevis (tongue sole), 1226 nucleotides. RefSeq lists it as uncharacterized. The record is from RefSeq and is a predicted model, not a curated record. NCBI's taxonomy places the organism in Eukaryota, Metazoa, Chordata, Actinopteri, Pleuronectiformes, Cynoglossidae. The transcript is spliced from 3 exons.